This 253-nucleotide ribosomal RNA is filed under the name uncultured bacterium. Its description in RNAcentral is "partial 16S ribosomal RNA". It matches the Rfam family "Bacterial small subunit ribosomal RNA", at positions 524 to 776 of the family's 1533-position model. The record is from RNAcentral.
UACGUAGGAUGCAAGCGUUGUCCGGAAUUACUGGGCGUAAAGGGCGAGUAGGCGGCCCCGCAAGUCAGAUGUGAAAUAGCCCGGCUUAACCGGGAGGGGUCAUUUGAAACUGCGGAGCUAGAGUGCAGGAGAGGCUAGCGGAAUUCCCGGUGUAGUGGUGAAAUGCGUAGAUAUCGGGAGGAACACCAGUGGCGAAGGCGGCUUCCUGGACCGACACUGACGCUGAGGCGCGAAAGCUAGGGGAGCAAACGGG